Molecule: long non-coding RNA, 845 nt
Organism: Panicum virgatum (switchgrass)
Lineage: Eukaryota; Viridiplantae; Streptophyta; Magnoliopsida; Poales; Poaceae
Exons: 3
Source: RefSeq, a predicted model, not a curated record
AGGAGUAACACUAAAAACUCAAAUGUUGGCACUAUUUGGACUACUGCUAAUCCAAAAUACAAGCUUGGUGAGCCUUUGUCGUCAGAAGAGGCUUUAGAGGCUGCUGGGCAAAGUUGUCAAUCCUUGCAUGCUUACUUCAUGGAACAAAGUGCAAAGGGUGCUGAUAGCAUUACUGCAAAGGUGGCUGCAUCCUACUUUGAAAGUGAUGGUGAAUUAAGCAUCACAAUUGGAUUCAAUGACUUGUAUGACCUUUUCAACAUGGACAGUCUGGAUGUUGGCUUGUUGAGGUGCUGGACAUUGAGAAUGAAGCAAUAGGCAAAUCAGAUGCAGAACGAUGUCGGGUUUUUGGAUCCACAAGUAUUCUCAGCCACAAUGCUUCAAUUCCAGACGAAAGAGGUAACACAAGCAAUUACAAAGGCUACGAAGCACGACUUUGUGGUGGGUGCCUAAAACACCGGUGGACACUGGAUACUAGUGAUCAUUGCUAUGAAGUGGGAUGUUGUUUUGUAUUUAGAUUAUGCUAAAACUUGGCCAAUGAGAAAGUUCAAGGACGUCAUAACUGAUGUGAACUGGUAAGUAUAUUGAAGGUUUUGUUCACACAAAUUCCAUCGCUUAAUGUUUUUAAUUGAUAUUGCUGAUCACGCAGGGCCUAUUCAGAGCACAUGGACAAAAUUGAGAAAAAGAUGACGAAAACAAAGUCAAAAAGCAAAGCUAAACUCACGCACAAGACAGAUUUCCCGUGCGCUCAACAUCCAUCGGGGAGCAUGUUGUGUGGAUUCUAUGUUGCAUUGAACAUGAUGGACUCUGACAUAAGCAUCAUGAAAAAAGCAUCUGUAAAUGUAUAC